RNAcentral lists this ribosomal RNA (497 nucleotides) under uncultured bacterium. RNAcentral describes it as "partial 16S ribosomal RNA". It matches the Rfam family "Bacterial small subunit ribosomal RNA", at positions 28 to 507 of the family's 1533-position model. The record is from RNAcentral.
GAUGAACGCUGGCGGCGUGCCUAAUACAUGCAAGUCGAGCGAACAGACGAGGAGCUUGCUCCUCUGACGUUAGCGGCGGACGGGGGAGUAACACGUGGAUAACCUACCUAUAAGACUGGGAUAACUUCGGGAAACCGGAGCUAAUACCGGAUAAUAUAUUGAACCGCAUGGUUCAAUAGUGAAAGACGGUUUUGCUGUCACUGAUAGAUGGAUCCGCGCCGCCUUAGCUAGUUGGUAAGGUAACGGCUUACCAAGGCAACGAUGCGUAGCCGACCUGAGAGGGUGAUCGGCCACACUGGAACUGAGACACGGUCCAGACUCCUACGGGAGGCAGCAGUAGGGAAUCUUACGCAAUGGGCGAAAGCCUGACGGAGCAACGCCGCGUGAGUGAUGAAGGUCUUCGGAUCGUAAAACUCUGUUAUUAGGGAAGAACAAAUGUGUAAGUAACUAUGCACGUCUUGACGGUACCUAAUCAGAAAGCCACGGCUAACUACGUG